CGUAACGCGUAUGCAAUCUACCUUGUACAGAGGGAUAGCCCAGAGAAAUUUGGAUUAAUAUCUCAUGGUAUUAUAGAAUGGCAUCAUUUUAUAAUUAAAGUUCCAACGGUACAAGAUGAGCAUGCGUCCUAUUAGCUAGUUGGUAUGGUAACGGCAUACCAAGGCAACGAUAGGUAGGGGUCCUGAGAGGGAGAUCCCCCACACUGGUACUGAGACACGGACCAG
Molecule: ribosomal RNA, 225 nt
Filed under: uncultured bacterium
Lineage: Bacteria
Description: partial 16S ribosomal RNA
Rfam family: Bacterial small subunit ribosomal RNA
Source: RNAcentral